UUGUUAGAGAAUCACCAGGAAGUUGAAUAAAUCUCAUAGGAGUUGGGAUGAAGAAGUUAUCCCACUUUCAAAUCAGGUGAUUCCAGUUUCCCAGUUUGGAAAUAGGACAUCUUCUUCGUCGUUCCAAUCAAACCAGGAUGAAUCACUUUGUAAGAAGCUUCAUUUGGAUACAUAAAGUGGUGGAAAAUCACCAGGAAGUUGAAUAAAUCUCAUAGGAGUUGGGCGUAAGAAGUUAUCCCACUUUCAAAUUAGGUGAUUCCAGUUUCCCUGUUUGGGAAUAGGACAGCUUUUUUGUCGUUCCAAUGAAACCAGGAUGAAUCACUUUGUAAGAAUUGAUUUGGAUACGUAAAUUGUUAGAGAAUCACCUGGAAGUUGAAUAAAUCUUAUAGGAGUUGGGAUGAAGAAGUUAUCCCACUUUCAAAUCAGGUGAUUCCAGUUUUCCAGUUUGGGAAUAGGACAGCUUCUUCGUCGUUCCAAUCAAACCAGGAUGAAUCUCUUUGAAAAAAUCAUGAUAUGGAUACAUAAAGUGGUGGAGAAUCACCAGGAAGUUGAAUAAAUCUCAUAGGAGUUGG
Brassica rapa (field mustard) is the source of this 572-nucleotide long non-coding RNA. RefSeq lists it as uncharacterized. The record is from RefSeq and is a predicted model, not a curated record. NCBI's taxonomy places the organism in Eukaryota, Viridiplantae, Streptophyta, Magnoliopsida, Brassicales, Brassicaceae.